This 469-nucleotide ribosomal RNA is filed under the name uncultured bacterium. RNAcentral describes it as "partial 16S ribosomal RNA". It matches the Rfam family "Bacterial small subunit ribosomal RNA", at positions 28 to 507 of the family's 1533-position model. The record is from RNAcentral.
GAUGAACGCUGGCGGCGUGCUUAACACAUGCAAGUCGAACGAUGAAGCUGGAGCUUGCUCUGGUGGAUUAGUGGCGAACGGGUGAGUAACACGUGAGCAACCUGCCCCUGACUCUGGGAUAACAGCCGGAAACGGCUGCUAAUACCGGAUAUGCACCAUGAACGCAUGUUCUGUGGUGGGAAAGAUUUUUCGGUUGGGGAUGGGCUCGCGGCCUAUCAGCUUGUUGGUGAGGGAAUGGCUCACCAAGGCGUCGACGGUUAGCCGGCCUGAGAGGGUGACCGGCCACACUGGGACUGAGACACGGCCCAGACUCCUACGGGAGGCAGCAGUGGGGAAUAUUGCACAAUGGGAGAAAGCCUGAUGAAGCAACGCCGCGUGAGGGAUGACGGCCUUCGGGUUGUAAACCUCUUUUAGCAGGGAAGAAGCGAGAGUGACGGUACCUGCAGAAAAAGCGCCGGCUAACUACGUG